This 936-nucleotide non-coding RNA is filed under the name Phrynoidis asper (giant Asian toad). RNAcentral's name for it is "partial 12S ribosomal RNA". It matches the Rfam family "Bacterial small subunit ribosomal RNA", at positions 410 to 1500 of the family's 1533-position model. The record is from RNAcentral. Lineage: Eukaryota; Metazoa; Chordata; Amphibia; Anura; Bufonidae.
GAUGGACCUUAAAAAGUCCUUUAAACACAAAGGUUUGGUCCUAACCUUGAAGUCAGUUUUUACUUAAUAUACACAUGCAAGUAUCCGCCCCCCUGUGAAAACGCCCUCUAACCCCUAAUAGGGAAAAGGAGCCGGUAUCAGGCACGAAAAUCUGCCCAAGACACCUAGCUAUGCCACACCCACAAGGGACUUCAGCAGUGAUUAACAUUGAAUAUUAGCGCAAGCUUGAAUCAGUUAAAGUAAAUAGAGCCGGCUAAUCUGGUGCCAGCCGCCGCGGUUACACCAUGUGGCUCUAAUUGACUUCUCCGGCGUAAAGCGUGAUUAAAGCCACCCCCUCACUAGAGUUAAACUAAAACUAAGCUGUGACACGCCUGUUUAUUAAGGAAAUCCAAAAACGAAGGUUACUCUAACACAACCAACUUGAAUUCACGACAGCUGGGAAACAAACUGGGAUUAGAUACCCCACUAUGCCCAACCGUAAACUUUUACUUACAGCCAAAUCGCCAGGGAACUACGAGCUAAGCUUAAAACCNNNAGGACUUGACGGUACCCNNAAAUCCCCUAGAGGAGCCUGUCCUAUAAUCGAUAAUNNNCGUUUAACCUCACCACUUUUAGCCAACCAGUCUGUAUACCUCCGUCGUCAGCUUACCCCGUGAGCGUCAAUUAGUGAGCCCAAUGUUAAUUCACCAAUACGUCAGGUCAAGGUGCAGCAAAUGAAGUGGGAAGAGAUGGGCUACACUCUCUAUGUUAGAAAAAACGAAAAACUACCUAUGAAACCUAGUUAGAAGGCGGAUUUAGCAGUAAAAAGGAAUCAGCAUAUCCUUUUUAACCCGGCACUGGGUGUGUACACNNCCGCCCGUCACCCUCUUCAAAGCUAUAAACAUAGCCCCCAACAAACCCAAACAUGACANAAGAGGCAAGUCGUAACAUGGUAAG